Molecule: ribosomal RNA, 316 nt
Filed under: Euplatamus sp. BYU CO760
Lineage: Eukaryota; Metazoa; Arthropoda; Insecta; Coleoptera; Silvanidae
Description: partial 12S ribosomal RNA
Source: RNAcentral
AGUUAUGUUCUUGAAAUUUAAAGAUUUUGGCGGUAUUUUAGUCUAUUCAGAGGAACCUGCCCUAUAAUUGAUAAUCCACGAUUUAAAUUACUUAAGUUAUUAGUUUGUAUAUCAUCGUAAUUUGAAUAUUUUAUAAGAAUUUAAAUAUUCUAGAUAUAAAAUUAUAUAAAAAAUCAGAUCAGGGUGCAGUUGAUAUUUAAGUAGAGGUGGGUUACAUUUAAAUUAUUAUUGAAUAAUAUUUUUUAAAUUUAUUAGAAAUUGGAUUUGAAAGUAAUUAAAAAAAAUUUUUUUUAAUGAUUAAAGCUCUAAAAUAUGU